UCAUCUUCGGGGGUAGAGCACUGUUUCGGCUAGGGGGUCAUCCCGACUUACCAACCCGAUGCAAACUACGAAUACCGAAGAAUGUUAUCACGGGAGACACACGGCGGGUGCUAACGUCCGUCGUGAAGAGGGAAACAACCCAGACCGCCAGCUAAGGUCCCAAAGUCAUGGUUAAGUGGGAAACGAUGUGGGAAGGCACAGACAGCCAGGAUGUUGGCUUAGAAGCAGCCAUCAUUUAAAGAAAGCGUAAUAGCUCACUGGUCGAGUCGGCCUGCGCGGAAGAUGUAACGGGGCUAAACCAUGCACCGAAGCUGCGGCAGCGACACUAUGUGUUGUUGGGUAGGGGAGCGUUCUGUAAGCCUGCGAAGGUGACCUGUGAGGGUUGCUGGAGGUAUCAGAAGUGCGAAUGCUGACAUAAGUAACGAUAAAGCGGGUGAAAAGCCCGCUCGCCGGAAGACCAAGGGUUCCUGUCCAACGUUAAUCGGGGCAGGGUGAGUCGACCCCUAAGGCGAGGCCGAAAGGCGUAGUCGAUGGGAAACAGGUUAAUAUUCCUGUACUUGGUGUUACUGCGAAGGGGGGACGGAGAAGGCUAUGUUAGCCGGGCGACGGUUGUCCCGGUUUAAGCAUGUAGGCUGGUUGUCCAGGCAAAUCCGGAUAAUCAAGGCUGAGGUGUGAUGACGAGGCACUACGGUGCUGAAGUAACAAAUGCCCUGCUUCCAGGAAAAGCCUCUAAGCAUCAGGUAACAUCAAAUCGUACCCCAAACCGACACAGGUGGUCAGGUAGAGAAUACCAAGGCGCUUGAGAGAACUCGGGUGAAGGAACUAGGCAAAAUGGUGCCGUAACUUCGGGAGAAGGCACGCUGGUGUGUAGGUGAAG
RNAcentral lists this ribosomal RNA (877 nucleotides) under Klebsiella pneumoniae. RNAcentral's name for it is "partial 23S ribosomal RNA". It matches the Rfam family "Bacterial large subunit ribosomal RNA", at positions 890 to 1767 of the family's 2925-position model. The record is from RNAcentral. RNAcentral also lists the same sequence under 1 other name. Lineage: Bacteria; Pseudomonadati; Pseudomonadota; Gammaproteobacteria; Enterobacterales; Enterobacteriaceae.